UGCCUAAUACAUGCAAGUUGAACGCACAGCGAAAGGUGCUUGCACCUUUCAAGUGAGUGGCGAACGGGUGAGUAACACGUGGACAACCUGCCUCAAGGCUGGGGAUAACAUUUGGAAACAGAUGCUAAUACCGAAUAAAACUUAGUGUCGCAUGACACAAAGUUAAAAGGCGCUUCGGCGUCACCUAGAGAUGGAUCCGCGGUGCAUU
Molecule: ribosomal RNA, 208 nt
Filed under: Leuconostoc mesenteroides
Lineage: Bacteria; Bacillati; Bacillota; Bacilli; Lactobacillales; Lactobacillaceae
Description: partial 16S ribosomal RNA
Rfam family: Bacterial small subunit ribosomal RNA
Source: RNAcentral